AGAGACUUACGAAGUGGUACAGUAACAGACAAAACAAGGCGCCAAAGACCGGAGGCGCAACUGGCUGUGAGAAGCCAGAUUGAAGGUUAGGGCUACCUGCCCGGCUGCCGGGAGCGGUGGGCCCAGACAGGGUCUCCCUGUGAAGUUCAGGCUGGGACUGCAGGCAUGUGCCCCCAUACUGACUUCCACUGUGUUCUGCUGAAGGACUUCCCAGAGCUCUGGAUGUACAAGUGUGAGAAGAAGCUGCUAAGGUGGGUUGCACGGAGCUUGCUAUCUACUUCUCAGGCUCAGAACACCCCGAAUACCCCACCUGCAGAGACUGCCAAGGACAGUCUCAAAGAAAUGGAACUUUAGAUAAGACCCACAUCUGCCAAGGCCAGGAGGCAGAAUUCCAAUUACCAGACUUCUUCACAGAUGCAUCUGGAAGACACAUUUCAGCUGCACACCAGAUAUAAAGAGACAACCAGUCACUACACGCUCUCUCUGCUUGGGUUUCUCUCCCCUUCCAUCCUCUCUGACUUUCUCUUUUUCUGUCUUUCUCUUCUCCUGCGCUCUCCCACUGUCUCUGUCUGUCUGUCUCUCUCUCCACACUUCUGCACAAUAAAUCUCUUCAUUCCAGA
Meriones unguiculatus (Mongolian gerbil) is the source of this 620-nucleotide long non-coding RNA. RefSeq lists it as uncharacterized. The transcript is spliced from 3 exons. The record is from RefSeq and is a predicted model, not a curated record. NCBI's taxonomy places the organism in Eukaryota, Metazoa, Chordata, Mammalia, Rodentia, Muridae.